CUGCAGCAGGGUUGGCGGAUUUGGGAAGGAGUGAAGAUGGCGGAGUGAGGCGCAUCGCGGCCAGCCGGCCUUUGGGCCGGGGGCGUGAAGGCCCCCGGACGGUCGAGUGCUUCUACUGGCUGGUGAGAGGAAGAACAUUUUCUCUGGCUUCCAGGUGCUUUUAUCUUCAUCUCGAGAAGAAAAUAAAAUUCUGAACUCAGGAUUUGGCAAGUAUUGUGUGUUUCUCCUGGAGUGGUUAGUUCUUCUUCUUUUAUCCAGCCACUUUCCCUGUUCUUGAAAUGUGGAUAUCUCUUCUCUACAUGUUGUACCUCCAUGAUUUGGAUUGGAAAAGGCUGCUUUUCUUUUGGUUCCACAUCUCAGAUUCAACAUAGAGAAG
Molecule: long non-coding RNA, 376 nt
Organism: Suricata suricatta (meerkat)
Lineage: Eukaryota; Metazoa; Chordata; Mammalia; Carnivora; Herpestidae
Exons: 3
Source: RefSeq, a predicted model, not a curated record